This 978-nucleotide long non-coding RNA is filed under the name Nicotiana benthamiana. Its description in RNAcentral is "long non-coding RNA (NBEN_LNC004512)". The record is from RNAcentral. Lineage: Eukaryota; Viridiplantae; Streptophyta; Magnoliopsida; Solanales; Solanaceae.
AGUUGACAAGGAGUAACGAAUUAUUCUAAAUAAUAAAGAGCAUUUAAUGAGACGUUAGAUAAUCAUUGCUAUUAAAUACUGAAUAACUAACGUAUCAAGUAUUUAAUAAAGAAAAUAGACUACUUUUUGUCAUCAGAUUCGUGUCUUAUAUGCCCUUUUUAUCCGUUGAUAUUGAAUUCCUUGGAUAGAUACGAGAAUUGUAUCUAAGAUUCUCUCUCGUGACUGUUUUCUUCUUCCACCGUGUCUGUUGUCUCCCGUAUCUUUUAAUCAUUUAUUUCUCUUUGGCUGUUUGACUAACUCACGUGUUAUGCCACGUCACCUUUAAUAAAAACUCAAUUUUUUUCCAAUACAGAUAGUCCCCCCACUUUUCAUUUAUUUAUCAAUUAAAUAAUUGGGAAGUGGAUCCUGAAAAAGAAUUUUUGCCACAAUUAAGGCUUGUGCCAGUAUCGACGUCUUUUCUGUCUUUCUCAUUUAAUACCAUGUACAAGAUUCAUAUGUUGGAGAGUUCUCGUGUCAACCUUCAAUCUUCCCUUGAUUUUCACUUAGCUGAACAUGAAACAAUGAAGAACACCUUAGCUACGUGGGGAAGGGAUUAUGAAAACCUGGAGAAGGUGAUUUUCACUUAGCUGAACAUGAAACAAUGAAGAACACUUUAGCUACGUAGGGAAAAGAUUAUGAAAACCUGAAGAAGGAUUACAAUUCCUUGGCUGAGAAUUUUAACUAUGAGGUCAACAUGGCCUUCUUGAAAUCUCGCCGUGAUACUUAAAUGGAGGCUUCUCAGGAAAAAUUUUGACUUGAAAUCUAAGUUAGCUAAAGUUUUAGACUUUAUUGAGAAAUGAACAGCCAACCGAAACUCCUUCUCCUAAUCAGGUAAUUGACAUCUCUCUCCAACAGUGGAAGCUCCCGGGGUUUAAGAGCCUUUGAACUUAGAAGCAACAACUGAAGUUACUGAAGUUACAAUUCCAGUAGACGAGGNNN